RNAcentral lists this ribosomal RNA (292 nucleotides) under uncultured bacterium. RNAcentral describes it as "partial 16S ribosomal RNA". It matches the Rfam family "Bacterial small subunit ribosomal RNA", at positions 505 to 796 of the family's 1533-position model. The record is from RNAcentral.
GUGUCAGCCGCCGCGGUAAUACGGAGGGUGCGAGCGUUGUCCGGAAUCACUGGGCGUAAAGGGCGCGUAGGUGGCAGCGUAAGCGUGUGGUGAAAGCUCGGGGCUCAACCCCGCGUCGGCCAUGCGAACUGCGUUGCUCGAGCACUGUAGAGGCAGACGGAAUUCCGGGUGUAGCGGUGGAAUGCGUAGAGAUCCGGAAGAACACCGGUGGCGAAGGCGGUCUGCUGGGCAGUUGCUGACACUGAGGCGCGACAGCGUGGGGAGCAAACAGGAUUAGAAACCCUAGUAGUCC